This 1091-nucleotide ribosomal RNA is filed under the name Streptosporangium anatoliense. RNAcentral's name for it is "bacterial SSU rRNA". It matches the Rfam family "Bacterial small subunit ribosomal RNA", at positions 403 to 1503 of the family's 1533-position model. The record is from RNAcentral. Lineage: Bacteria; Bacillati; Actinomycetota; Actinomycetes; Streptosporangiales; Streptosporangiaceae. RNAcentral also lists the same sequence under 1 other name.
GGGGAAUGACCGACUUCGGGGUUGUAACUCUUUCAGCAGGGACGAAAGUUGACGUGGUACUGCAGAAGAAGCGCCGGCUAACCUACGUGCCAGCAGCCGCGGUAAUACGUAGGGCGCAAGCGUUGUCCGGAAUUAUUGGGCGUAAAGAGCUCGUAGGUGGCUUGUCGCGUCGGGUGUGAAAGCUUGGGGCUUAACUCCAGGUCUGCAUUCGAUACGGGCUGGCUAGAGGUAGGCAGGGGAGAACGGAAUUCCUGGUGUAGCGGUGAAAUGCGCAGAUAUCAGGAGGAACACCGGUGGCGAAGGCGGUUCUCUGGGCCUUACCUGACGCUGAGGAGCGAAAGCGUGGGGAGCGAACAGGAUUAGAUACCCUGGUAGUCCACGCCGUAAACGUUGGGCGCUAGGUGUGGGGGCCUUCCACGGUUUCCGCGCCGUAGCUAACGCAUUAAGCGCCCCGCCUGGGGAGUACGGCCGCAAGGCUAAAACUCAAAGGAAUUGACGGGGGCCCGCACAAGCGGCGGAGCAUGUUGCUUAAUUCGACGCAACGCGAAGAACCUUACCAAGGCUUGACAUCGCCCGGAAACAUCCAGAGAUGGGUGCCUCUUCGGACUGGGUGACAGGUGGUGCAUGGCUGUCGUCAGCUCGUGUCGUGAGAUGUUGGGUUAAGUCCCGCAACGAGCGCAACCCUUGCUCCAUGUUGCCAGCAGCACCUUCGGGUGGCUGGGGACUCAUGGGGGACUGCCGGGGUCAACUCGGAGGAAGGUGGGGAUGACGUCAAGUCAUCAUGCCCCUUAUGUCUUGGGCUGCAAACAUGCUACAAUGGCCGGUACAGAGGGUUGCGAUACCGCAAGGUGGAGCGAAUCCCUAAAAGCCGGUCUCAGUUCGGAUUGGGGUCUGCAACUCGACCCCAUGAAGUCGGAGUCGCUAGUAAUCGCAGAUCAGCAACGCUGCGGUGAAUACGUUCCCGGGCCUUGUACACACCGCCCGUCACGUCACGAAAGUCGGCAACACCCGAAGCCCGUGGCCCAACCCUUUGGGGGGGAGCGGUCGAAGGUGGGGCUGGCGAUUGGACGAAGUCGUAACAACGUGCCGCC